Long non-coding RNA from Oreochromis niloticus (Nile tilapia), 695 nucleotides. RefSeq lists it as uncharacterized. Lineage: Eukaryota; Metazoa; Chordata; Actinopteri; Cichliformes; Cichlidae. The transcript has 5 exons. The record is from RefSeq and is a predicted model, not a curated record.
UUGCAGCUUGUCCUGGAAUAAUCCCCCUGACGUAACGUCUAGAAACGAGAACAAUGUGCCCCGCCAACAUCAAAGGAGGUAAAGGAUGGUUUGGUAUCUCUGUGUGCCUGUGCCUUCCAAUGUAUAAAACAGCCCGGCUUUCAGCCCCAAGACACAGGCGGGGAGCUGCCGAGGAAAUUUAAUUUCACGACUACCACAUUGCUACCUGGCAGACACAAGUCCUUGCUCAGCUUUUGUCUUCUCCUCUUAAAGAAGUUGCUCACAAGUUAAAUCUCUAAACCAACGUACAAACACAAGACACUUCACCUCCCAGCCAUGGAGCAUGACAUCAGUCCUUUGACGGGUUUCUCCUCUGGCUUCUUUAAGUUGGAUGUCAACCCGUUAUUUGGAUAUCGGGAAAUAAUGCACCUCGCCCAUUGAAAGAAGAGGACAUGAGACCUUCAUCCUCUCACAAUCAUCGGCCAUGCUCACCCUGAACAUCCAGGAUAGCUGCAGAUUUUCUGCAAUCAUUCAAAGGGUGCAUGUGGUCAUGUGCCACGUUAUAUAUGAAUAAAUAAAUAACAGAAGCCGAGGCUAUGCCACUCGUGCCAAUGUAUAAAUCUAUUAAACAGAAGUAAUACAGAUUACCAUUCUUGUUUUAUUUUGGUAUUUGCUACAUAAAGGAACAUUAAUAUGAAGAUAUUAACUCCUUUUUA